This 77-nucleotide transfer RNA is filed under the name Candidatus Saccharimonadota bacterium. Its description in RNAcentral is "tRNA-Val". It matches the Rfam family "tRNA". From Rfam's summary of the family: Transfer RNA (tRNA) molecules are approximately 80 nucleotides in length. The record is from RNAcentral. Lineage: Bacteria; Candidatus Saccharimonadota.
GGGUGAUUAGCUCAGUUGGCUAGAGCGCACGAUUCACAUUCGUGAGGUCGCAGGUUCGAGCCCUGCAUCGCCCACCA